GAUGAACGCUGGCGGCGUGCCUAAUACAUGCAAGUCGAGCGAACAGACGAGGAGCUUGCUCCUCUGACGUUAGCGGCGGACGGGUGAGUAACACGUGGAUAACCUACCUAUAAGACUGGGAUAACUUCGGGAAACCGGAGCUAAUACCGGAUAAUAUAUUGAACCGCAUGGUUCAAUAGUGAAAGACGGUUUUGCUGUCACUUAUAGAUGGAUCCGCGCCGCAUUAGCUAGUUGGUAAGGUAACGGCUUACCAAGGCAACGAUGCGUAGCCGACCUGAGAGGGUGAUCGGCCACACUGGAACUGAGACACGGUCCAGACUCCUACGGGAGGCAGCAGUAGGGAAUCUUCCGCAAUGGGCGAAAGCCUGACGGAGCAACGCCGCGUGAGUGAUGAAGGUCUUCGGAUCGUAAAACUCUGUUAUUAGGGAAGGACAAAUGUGUAAGUAACUAUGCACGUCUUGACGGUACCCAAUCAGAAAGCCACGGCUAACUACGUG
RNAcentral lists this ribosomal RNA (497 nucleotides) under uncultured bacterium. Its description in RNAcentral is "partial 16S ribosomal RNA". It matches the Rfam family "Bacterial small subunit ribosomal RNA", at positions 28 to 507 of the family's 1533-position model. The record is from RNAcentral.